Molecule: unclassified non-coding RNA, 243 nt
Filed under: Hevea brasiliensis (rubber tree)
Lineage: Eukaryota; Viridiplantae; Streptophyta; Magnoliopsida; Malpighiales; Euphorbiaceae
Source: RNAcentral
GCCUACAGCAGCCGAGAAAAAACUAGAAAGGACCCUAGAGGAAAAAGCACUCAGAGAGACUUCUCUUCCUAUAAAAAACUGGAGAAAGUGAGAGGGAGAGAGUUACUUUUGGAGUGUGCGAUUUUGAUUCAGUUAAGAUCUAUUUAAAAAUUGAAAUAAAAUUAAAAUUUCGAUAUGAUUCUAAUUUCGGUUCUAAUUCUUCAUUAUUUUGAUUUAGAUUUGAUACAAUUGUCGAUUCUUUUG